This 802-nucleotide ribosomal RNA is filed under the name uncultured Bacillota bacterium. RNAcentral's name for it is "bacterial SSU rRNA". It matches the Rfam family "Bacterial small subunit ribosomal RNA", at positions 70 to 849 of the family's 1533-position model. The record is from RNAcentral. Lineage: Bacteria; Bacillati; Bacillota.
AAAGUCCCCUUCGGGGGACAAGUAGAGUGGCGCACGGGUGAGUAACACGUAGGUAAUCUACCUUCGGAUGGGGAAUAACAACCGGAAACGGUUGCUAAUACCGCAUAAUGCAGCGGCACCUAAUGGUGACAGUUGUUAAAGCGGGGGAUCGCAAGACCUCGCGUCUGAAGAGGAGCCUGCGGCGGAUUAGCUAGUUGGUAAGGUAAUGGCUUACCAAGGCGACGAUCCGUAACCGGCCUGAGAGGGCGGUCGGUCACACUGACACUGACAUACGGGUCAGACUCCUACGGGAGGCAGCAGUCGGGAAUUUUGGGCAAUGGGCGCAAGCCUGACCCAGCAACGCCGCGUGAAGGAUGAAAUCCCUCGGGAUGUAAACUUCGCAAGAACGGGAAGAAUAAGUCUGUGUAAAUACCACAGAUGAUGACGGUACCGUUUGUAAGCUCCGGCUAACUCCGUGCCAGCAGCCGCGGUAAUACGGGGGGAGCAAGCGUUGUUCGGAUUUACUGGGCGUAAAGGGCGCGUAGGCGGCCAGCGCAAGUCAGUUGUGAAAUCUCCGAGCUUAACUCGGAAAGGUCAACUGAUACUGCGCGGCUAGAGUGCAGAAGGGGCAACUGGAAUUCUUGGUGUAGCGGUGAAAUGCGUAGAUAUCAAGAGGAACACCUGCGGCGAAGGCGGGUUGCUGGGCUGACACUGACGCUGAAGCGCGAAAGCUAGGGGAGCGAACGGGAUUAGACACCCCGGUAGUCCUAGCCUUAAACGAUGAAUGCUUGGUGUCUGGGGUUAUAAAGUCCCCGGGUGCCGU